GAUAAACGCUGGCGACGCACGUAAGACAUGCAAGUCGAACGAACUUAAUUGAGAGCUUGCUCUCAAAGCGGUUAGUGGCGGACUGGUGAGUAACACGUAAGCAACCUGCCUAUUAGAGGGGAAUAACAGCGAGAAAUCGUUGCUAAUACCGCAUAUGCUGCGAGUACCGCAUGAUACAAGCAGGAAAGGAGCAAUCCGCUAAUAGAUGGGCUUGCGUCUGAUUAGUUAGUUGGUGGGGUAACGGCCUACCAAGACGAUGAUCAGUAGCCGGACUGAGAGGUUGAACGGCCACAUUGGGACUGAGAUACGGCCCAGACUCCUACGGGAGGCAGCAGUCGGGAAUAUUGCGCAAUGGAGGAAACUCUGACGCAGUGACGCCGCGUGCAGGAAGAAGGUUUUCGGAUUGUAAACUGCUUUUAACAGGAAAGAAAAAAAUGACGGUACCUGUUGAAUAAGCUCCGGCUAACUACGUGCCAGCAGCCGCGGUAAUACGUAGGGAGCGAGCGUUAUCCGGAUUUAUUGGGUGUAAAGGGUGCGUAGACGGAAAUGCAAGUUAGUUGUGAAAUACCUCGGCUUAACUGAGGAACUGCAACUAAAACUAUAUUUCUUGAGUAUCGGAGGGGUUUGUGGAAUUCCUAGUGUAGCGGUGAAAUGCGUAGAUAUUAGGAAGAACACCGGUGGCGAAGGCGACAAGCUGGACGAUAACUGACGUUGAGGCACGAAAGUGUGGGGAGCAAACAGGAUUAGAUACCCUGGUAGUCCACACCGUAAACGAUGGAUACUAGGUGUUGGCAAUGAAUAAUUGUCGGUGCCGGCGCUAACGCAAUAAGUAUCCCACCUGGGGAGUACGACCGCAAGGUUGAAACUCAAAGGAAUUGACGGGGGCCCGCACAAGCAGUGGAGUAUGUGGUUUAAUUCGAAGAUACGCGAAGAACCUUACCAAGGCUUGACAUAUAGAGGAAUAAGUAGGAAACUAUUUAGCUCUUCGGAGUCUCUAUACAGGUGGUGCAUGGUUGUCGUCAGCUCGUGUCGUGAGAUGUUAGGUUAAGUCCUGCAACGAGCGCAACCCCUAUUUCUAGUUGCCAGCACGUAAUGGUGGGAACUCUAGAAAGACUGCCGGUGAUAAAUCGGAGGAAGGUGGGGACGACGUCAAAUCAUCAUGCCCUUUAUGUCUUGGGCAACACACGUACUACAAUGGCCGUUACAGAGAGAAGCAAUACAGUGAUGUGGAGCAAAACUCAAAAAGCGGUCUCAGUUCGGACUGUAGGCUGAAGUUCGCCUACACGAAGUCGGAAUUGCUAGUAAUGGCAGGUCAGAAUACUGCCGUGAAUACGUUCCCGGGCCU
Molecule: ribosomal RNA, 1345 nt
Filed under: uncultured bacterium
Lineage: Bacteria
Description: bacterial SSU rRNA
Rfam family: Bacterial small subunit ribosomal RNA
Source: RNAcentral